GAACACGGCACCCCCACAGCCACGUGGGUUAAAUCGGGAGGGUACAGCGGCUAAGGGAGAAAACCCUGUGGAAAUGUGUAGCAGAGGCGAUGAUGAGAUGACUGUGAUCACCUGGCCGGUCCUCCCAGACUGUUUAACCCCCGCCUGCCCGAGACCAGGAGGCUGCAUUCUACCGAUGGCGCACCAACAUGUUUUCUCUCUGUUAACUACUGACAACAUGCACCUCACAUUCUCCAUCACAUCCAUCCACCAACAUUCAUCACUGAUACUGACAAUCACACCUCAUCGUGCUCUUGUUUGCAUCAUUAUUUAAUAAAUGUCACUUAUUAUUGUCA
Etheostoma spectabile (orangethroat darter) is the source of this 335-nucleotide long non-coding RNA. RefSeq lists it as uncharacterized. NCBI's taxonomy places the organism in Eukaryota, Metazoa, Chordata, Actinopteri, Perciformes, Percidae. The transcript is spliced from 2 exons. The record is from RefSeq and is a predicted model, not a curated record.